GACGAACGCUGGCGGCGUGCCUAAUACAUGCAAGUAGAACGCUGAAGAGAGGAGCUUGCUCUUCUUGGAUGAGUUGCGCACGGGUGAGUAACGCGUAGGUAACCUGCCUUGUAGCGGGGGAUAACUAUUGGAAACGAUAGCUAAUACCGCAUAACAAUGGAUGACACAUGUCAUUUAUUUGAAAGGGGCAAUUGUUCCACUACAAGAUGGACCUGCGUUGUAUUAGCUAGUAGGUGAGGUAAUGGCUCACCUAGGCGACGAUACAUAGCCGACCUGAGAGGGUGAUCGGCCAGACUGGGACGGAGACACGGCCCAGACGCCUACGGGAGGCAGCAGUAGGGAAUCGUCGGCAAUGGGGGCAACCCUGACCGAGCAACGCCGCGCGAGGGAAGAAGGUUUUCGGAUCGUAAAGGUCUGUUGUAAGGCAAGAAAGGGGGUGAGAGUGGAAAGUUCACACUGUGACGGUAGCUUACCAGAAAGGGACGGCUAACUACGUG
RNAcentral lists this ribosomal RNA (497 nucleotides) under uncultured bacterium. RNAcentral describes it as "partial 16S ribosomal RNA". It matches the Rfam family "Bacterial small subunit ribosomal RNA", at positions 28 to 507 of the family's 1533-position model. The record is from RNAcentral.